AUGCCGCGUGCAGGAAGACGGCCCUCUGGGUUGUAAACUGCUUUUAUCCGGGAAUAAACCCCCUUACGUGUAAGGGGCUGAAUGUACCGGAAGAAUAAGGAUCGGCUAACUCCGUGCCAGCAGCCGCGGUAAUACGGAGGAUCCAAGCGUUAUCCGGAUUUAUUGGGUUUAAAGGGUGCGUAGGCGGCCUGUUAAGUCAGGGGUGAAAGACGGUGGCUCAACCAUCGCAGUGCCUUUGAUACUGACGGGCUUGAAUACACUUGAAGUAGGCGGAAUGUGACAAGUAGCGGUGAA
This 294-nucleotide ribosomal RNA is filed under the name bacterium c14(2011). RNAcentral's name for it is "partial small subunit ribosomal RNA". It matches the Rfam family "Bacterial small subunit ribosomal RNA", at positions 394 to 685 of the family's 1533-position model. The record is from RNAcentral.